AGUGAACGCUGGCGGUAGGCCUAACACAUGCAAGUCGAACGGCAGCACAGGAGAGCUUGCUCUCUGGGUGGCGAGUGGCGGACGGGUGAGGAAUACAUCGGAAUCUACCUUUUCGUGGGGGAUAACGUAGGGAAACUUACGCUAAUACCGCAUACGACCUACGGGUGAAAGUGGGGGACCGCAAGGCCUCACGCGAUUAGAUGAGCCGAUGUCCGAUUAGCUAGUUGGCGGGGUAAUGGCCCACCAAGGCGACGAUCGGUAGCUGGUCUGAGAGGAUGAUCAGCCACACUGGAACUGAGACACGGUCCAGACUCCUACGGGAGGCAGCAGUGGGGAAUAUUGGACAAUGGGCGCAAGCCUGAUCCAGCCAUACCGCGUGGGUGAAGAAGGCCUUCGGGUUGUAAAGCCCUUUUGUUGGGAAAGAAAUCCUGUCGAUUAAUACUCGGUGGGGAUGACGGUACCCAAAGAAUAAGCACCGGCUAACUUCGU
RNAcentral lists this ribosomal RNA (489 nucleotides) under uncultured bacterium. RNAcentral's name for it is "partial 16S ribosomal RNA". It matches the Rfam family "Bacterial small subunit ribosomal RNA", at positions 29 to 506 of the family's 1533-position model. The record is from RNAcentral.